AAGCAGACGAGAAAUGGCGGUUGGUGUAUGUGUUUUGAUGUAAAGUUAAUACAGUAUAGAGAUUUAGGAAAAGGGAUAUGAAAAGCAUUAAAUUUGUAUUUGAAUGCAAUAUCUAUCCAUAUAAUCGAAGAUGGAAGAUAGUGGUAUAGAUAGUGAUUCUAAAUCUAAUAGUAAUAGUUGUGUUGCUGCUCCAUCUGUGUGCAAUGGGCGUGAAUCGUCGAUGGCUGUACGGAAAGAAAACAAAUCAGAGGAAUCGAAUUUACAAGAGGAGAUCGAGUAGUUCCAGACAUCCCAAGUUUACAAGCCAUCCCAACUCUAGAGAAUAUCCUUUAAAGAUUUAUAUUUGUCAACAAAGAACUUUUUGUUUUCAGAUACGGGUAGAAAAUCAAAAAGAUGAAAUUGGUGAAACUAUUCCUACAUCGUCAUCACAGUUAAUGACUACAGUUCAGUUACAAAAACGCCUUG
This 465-nucleotide long non-coding RNA is filed under the name Androctonus crassicauda. Lineage: Eukaryota; Metazoa; Arthropoda; Arachnida; Scorpiones; Buthidae. The record is from RNAcentral.